This 530-nucleotide ribosomal RNA is filed under the name uncultured bacterium. RNAcentral describes it as "partial 16S ribosomal RNA". It matches the Rfam family "Bacterial small subunit ribosomal RNA", at positions 355 to 902 of the family's 1533-position model. The record is from RNAcentral.
UGGGGAAUAUUGCACAAUGGGCGAAAGCCUGAUGCAGCAACGCCGCGUGAGUGAUGAAGGUCUUCGGAUUGUAAAGCUCUGUCUUUUGGGACGAUAAUGACGGUACCAAAGGAGGAAGCCACGGCUAACUACGUGCCAGCAGCCGCGGUAAUACGUAGGUGGCGAGCGUUGUCCGGAUUUACUGGGCGUAAAGGGUGCGUAGGCGGAUGUUUAAGUGAGAUGUGAAAUACCAGGCUUAACUUGGGUGCUGCAUUUCAAACUGGAUAUCUAGAGUGCAGGAGAGGAGAAUGGAAUUCCUAGUGUAGCGGUGAAAUGCGUAGAGAUUAGGAAGAACACCAGUGGCGAAGGCGAUUCUCUGGACUGUAACUGACGCUGAGGCACGAAAGCGUGGGUAGCAAACAGGAUUAGAUACCCUGGUAGUCCACGCCGUAAACGAUGAGUACUAGGUGUAGGAGGUAUCGACCCCUUCUGUGCCGCAGUAAACACAUUAAGUACUCCGCCUGGGAAGUACGAUCGCAAGAUUAAAACUC